This is a long non-coding RNA of Sinocyclocheilus grahami, 247 nucleotides long. RefSeq lists it as uncharacterized. Lineage: Eukaryota; Metazoa; Chordata; Actinopteri; Cypriniformes; Cyprinidae. The transcript has 2 exons. The record is from RefSeq and is a predicted model, not a curated record.
AGCGGAUCUUGUUUUAGGCUGCUGGGAGAGAGGACGCCAGGUUAUCACAGAGGUGUGGUUUAUCGGCUAGUGCAGCACUGCAUUCUCCAGCCAUGAGGUGCAGUAACUGAUGGCAGAUGGCGGCUGUUGGCAUUUGUACCCGGCUGGCACCCAGACUGAGUCAUGGAAAACUCGGUGUGAGGCACAAACAGCUCUCACUCGACACUUUAAACCAACCGUGCAGGACAAUAUUAUAACCAGACUCAAA